AUUGAACGCUGGCGGCAGGCCUAACACAUGCAAGUCGAACGGUAGCACAGAGAGCUUGCUCUUGGGUGACGAGUGGCGGACGGGUGAGUAAUGUCUGGGAAACUGCCCGAUGGAGGGGGAUAACUACUGGAAACGGUAGCUAAUACCGCAUAACGUCGCAAGACCAAAGUGGGGGACCUUCGGGCCUCACACCAUCGGAUGUGCCCAGAUGGGAUUAGCUAGUAGGUGGGGUAACGGGCUCACCUAGGCGACGAUCCCUAGCUGGUCUGAGAGGAUGACCAGCCACACUGGAACUGAGACACGGUCCAGACUCCUACGGGAGGCAGCAGUGGGGAAUAUUGCACAAUGGGCGCAAGCCUGAUGCAGCCAUGCCGCGUGUAUGAAGAAGGCC
RNAcentral lists this ribosomal RNA (391 nucleotides) under uncultured bacterium. RNAcentral's name for it is "bacterial SSU rRNA". It matches the Rfam family "Bacterial small subunit ribosomal RNA", at positions 30 to 416 of the family's 1533-position model. The record is from RNAcentral.